This is a long non-coding RNA of Hydra vulgaris (swiftwater hydra), 434 nucleotides long. RefSeq lists it as uncharacterized. Lineage: Eukaryota; Metazoa; Cnidaria; Hydrozoa; Anthoathecata; Hydridae. The record is from RefSeq and is a predicted model, not a curated record.
UAACACGUUUUUUAAGUUCAAUCAGGUGGGAGUAGGUUUUAAUAACUAAUAUAUGUAAUCAUACACGGCGUUUAAGAAGAUUUUAACAUUUUACAUUCAUUGCUAAAUGAAAGAGAAAGUUGGAAAAACUCCGAUUAAAGAAGAUUUUAAUAAUAAAUGCUAAAACUAAGGUUACAAGUGAAAUAAAAACAGCGCUUUUUUUUUAGACUAGUUCAUUAAUAAUACAUCAUUUUGAUGUUUCAAUCUUUAUUUUUUUUUUAUAAAAGGUGUUUAUGUACAUGUUGCAACAAAAGAAAAGAAGAGCUAGUGUAAAAUUACUAUUUUCGAGCUAAAUCUUAUUCGCAACUCCGUGCAGCUGACAUUAAGGAUUGUAGAUACUUCGUGCAAAGGAAGAAGACAAUAUUUUGGAAUUAUCAUUCCUACAGAAUAUUUCA